Molecule: unclassified non-coding RNA, 294 nt
Filed under: fungal sp.
Lineage: Eukaryota; Fungi
Description: partial internal transcribed spacer region
Rfam family: Eukaryotic small subunit ribosomal RNA (bases 1-46)
Source: RNAcentral
AAGUCGUAACAAGGUUUCCGUAGGUGAACCUGCGGAAGGAUCAUUAUCAACGUUAUCCACGUUAACCAACUGUGAACUUGUUUGCUCCCUUCGGGUUUGAGCAACCCUGCUUUUGGAAAGCAUUGUCUUUCCAUUUGCAGGUGGUUUUUAACUAAACCAAAUAUCAUUAACCAAUUGAACCCUUUGCUAAUACACUUAUGUGCUUAUUUAUGUGUUUCUUUACCCGUCAAGGGAAAGAAAUCAAUAAUAUACGAAACAUAAGAACAACUCUUAGCAACGGAUAUCUUGGUUCUG